This 1575-nucleotide ribosomal RNA is filed under the name Triticum aestivum (bread wheat). Its description in RNAcentral is "partial small subunit ribosomal RNA". The record is from RNAcentral. Lineage: Eukaryota; Viridiplantae; Streptophyta; Magnoliopsida; Poales; Poaceae.
AUGCUGAAAAAAUACCAAGCGCAUAUUAAUGUUGAGUGGUGCAAUAAAACUCAUGUCAUCAAGUAUCUUUACAAGUAUGUUACAAAGGGUCCUGAUUUUUCGAAAACUUUGUUUGAAAGCAUAAAAAACAAGAAUGGUAUUGAGAUUGAUGAGAUCAUUGAAUAUAGAGAAUGUCGCUACAUAUGUGAUAAAGAUGGUUGCUGGAGGAUAUAUGGCUUUGAUAUACAUAGUAAAAUGCCUUCUGUUGAAGGACUACCCAUUCACCUAUUAAAUAAACACAUAGUACGCUUCAAUGUAAAGGCAAACCUGAAGUCGGUUGCUGAUGAUGCCUGGCUACAGAGAACAAUGUUGAUGGAGUGGUUUGUGGCUAACAGAUCUCAUUUGAGUGCUAGGUCUCUUACUUAUUGCGACUUCCCAACCAAAUGGACUUGGGUAGGAAACAAGAAACAAUGGAUUCCUAAUACCUCAAGUUAUAGGAUUGGUAGAAUUUAUUAUGUACAUCCUACAACUGGAGAACUUUACUCUCUUAGAAUGCUUCUCAUGAUUGUUAAAGGUGCCAAGUCUUAUGCAGAUGUUAGAACCUAUAAUGGGAUUGUGUAUGAAACUUUCAAAGAGGCAUGUGCUGCUAGGGGCUUGCUUGGAGACGAUCUCGAAUGGUAUAGUGCAUUUGACAAGGCUUUAACCUGGGGUAUGGGGGAUCAGUUACAUAGGCUCUUUGUUACAAUACUUGUCCAUUGUGGGGUUAGUGAUGAAAAUGCUUUUUUUGAAAAAUAUUGGUUGGAGUUGGCUCAAGAUAUUGAACACCGUAUAAAGCGCUCCUUUCAUGAUGAUGAUCAUGUUGUGCAUGUUGAUGAACUGAUAGAUAUGUUACUUGAUAAACUGACCAUUCUAUUUGCUAAAAAUGCAUCUAAUAUUCUAGAUCACAAUCUACCAUUAAAGACUGUAUAUGAUGAUGAUUUAGAUGAAAAUGGUAUGAUAAAUGAUGAACUAUGCACUGAUCCUAAAGCUAAGCUUAUAAAAGUAGAGACCAUGUACAACCAACUUAAUCCAGAUCAACUCCUAGAUUACAAGAGUAUUAUUGAUAGGGUUAUAUCUGGAGAACUUGGCUUUUUCUUUGUUUCUGGAUAUGGCGGGACUGGGAAAACUUUUCUCUGGAAUGCUAUAGUUGCUUAUCUUAGAGGCAAGGAGAGGAUUGUUCUCACGGUUGCAUCUUCUGGGGUUGCAACACUUCUUUUGCCUGGAGGUAGAACUGCUCAUUCUAGGUUUAAAAUGCCGAUCUGUCUAGAUGACAAUGGAACAUGUGAUAUAAAAAGAUCUAGCAAGUUAGCAGAGAUGAUUGAAUCAGCCUCACUAAUAAUUUGGGAUGAAGCUUUAAUGUCACAUCGUAAGUGCUUUGAGGCUCUGGAUCGUAGUUUGCGUGAUAUUUUAUCUGCUAAUGAUCCUUCUAUUGUUGGCAUGCCUUUUGGUGGUAAGGUUGUGGUUUUGGGUGGUGAUCUGAGACAGAUUUUACCAUUCAUUGAGGGUGGGACUCGCACCCAGGUUAUUAAUGCCGCUGUAACAAAUUCGCCUCUAUGA